This is a long non-coding RNA of Camellia sinensis, 1354 nucleotides long. RefSeq lists it as uncharacterized. Lineage: Eukaryota; Viridiplantae; Streptophyta; Magnoliopsida; Ericales; Theaceae. The record is from RefSeq and is a predicted model, not a curated record.
CAUAAUGGGUCUACGGAAACCAACAAACGCUCUCCAAUCGAGAUAUUCAAGCUUCUCCCUCUUACCAGCAUAUCUAAGCGAUCCCAGUAACUGACUAGCCAACCAGGGUGAUUUGUACUGCCCCAUCUGACAUCUCACACGGGUCGGAGCUGACCGCCGCGGUCUGGCAGCGGGUUGAGCAGUUUGUUUUUUGGCUCAUUCCCCGCAGUUGGGCGCGCCAAAAGUCCCUCUCCAAAAUCCUUGGGGGAUCUGUUUCACGACAAAUUUCUUAUUUUGUGUAGUCUUUCAACCUAGAAUCACUUCUUCUUCUACUUUGGGAAAAACCCUAUUUCAUUCCCCAAAACAGCUAUGUUUCAUCUCAAGGUGACUCUCAAUCGGUCCAUCAGUACUGGCUUUGUUCUGAUUUCUUCAUCGAAGACUAUUCCCUAUCAGAAUUCAGGUUGAUGACAUGAACACCACUUCCCAUUGGAUUUUCCCAAGUUCAAAUCCCAACACUUGGCAUGCUUCUGCAUGUAAUGCCAGAUUUGAAAUGGUUUAAGAUUUCAUGCAAAAAUGAAACAAAAUUGGGAAAGCUGCGGUUGAUGCAUACAAGGAUAAAGCUCAUAGCUUGUCGAUCUUUGCUACGUUGAUUCUCACUGUGGUUUCAUGAAUUUGUUGGUGCUUCAAAAGUGUCAAUGUGCUUACAGUUUGUCUACGUCAAAUAAAUAUUAAAUAGAUUAAUUUUGUUCAAAUUUACAUUCUGUUACCCCACCUCUCUAUGUUAGUGUGCACCUUUUCCCUUUUGGUUGUGUAAGACCAUCUCCAACCCAGCGCCUUUUGUUUCAUCAAAUUUAAAUUUGAUGAAAAAACCUACAUUUUGUUGCUCCAACCCUUUCAUCAAAUUAGUAUCAAAUUCAGAAUUUCUUAAAUCUUUCAUUAAAUUGAGGAUGGAUGUAUCUUUCAUCAAAUCACUGUUCAUAACUGUUGGAGCUGCAGGUCAUUUUCACCACCAGACCAUCAGCUGGAUGUUCAGCCGAAUGUCCUCCCGGAUGAUCACCUCCUUGCGAAAAUUUGUGAAAAAUUACACUAGCUAGUCAACCGGCUGGACAUCUGCCCGAUCGACCAAUGUUUUGAUGUUAGUCCGUUGGAGUGCGUGAUAUCAGAUGAAGUUUUUACUCAAAUUUGUUAAAAAAAAUAUACAACGUUGGAAAUAUUAUAAGUUACUCUUUUUUGUUACUAUUCGCUCUGGAAGACGGUACUUGUAUUUUUAAAUUAUUUCUUAGUUGUAGAAUAUCCUUUUCUUCAUCAUUUCCAAUGUUAAUAACUUUUUAUUUUAUUUUAUAUAUAUUUGAUUUUAUAGAUUUGAAUACUCAAA